Molecule: long non-coding RNA, 591 nt
Organism: Pseudoliparis swirei
Lineage: Eukaryota; Metazoa; Chordata; Actinopteri; Perciformes; Liparidae
Exons: 2
Source: RefSeq, a predicted model, not a curated record
ACCACUACUUCGGCCGAGACGGGCGCAGAGAGUCGGUCCCGGCCACGGUCGUCAUGUCUUCUCAGAAAGCUCUGACAGCCGGCAGUCAAGGUGCUGCAGUCUCAUCUCUUCCAGUGACGCCCGGUCCUGUGUACAAGGAGCUGGAGCUGUCGACAGACCAGCCGUACCUCUGAGGAUCAACCCCAACCACCUCUGAGGAGCAACCCCGACCACCUCUGAGGAUCAACCCCGACCACCUCUGAGGAGCAGAUCAACCCCAACCACCUCUGAGGAUCAACCGCAACCACCUCUGAGGAUCAACCCCGACCACCUCUGAGGAUCAAUCCCGACCACCUCUGAGGAGCAGAUCAACCGCAACCACCUCUGAGGAUCAACCCCGACCACCUCUGAGGAGCAGAUCAACCCCGACCACCUCUGAGGAGCAGAUCAACCCCGACCACCUCUGAGGAUGAACCCCGACCACCUCUGAGGAUCAACCCCAACCACCUCUGAGGAUCAACCCCAACCACCUCUGAGGAGCCGAUCCCCCUAACAUCCACCUGCAUUUGUUGGCUGUACUAUAGAAAAUGUGAAUAAAAUGUGUUCUAUUUA